Molecule: ribosomal RNA, 487 nt
Filed under: uncultured bacterium
Lineage: Bacteria
Description: bacterial SSU rRNA
Rfam family: Bacterial small subunit ribosomal RNA
Source: RNAcentral
GACGAACGCUGGCGGCGUGCUUAACACAUGCAAGUCGAACGGAAAGGCUCCUUCGGGGGUACUCGAGUGGCGAACGGGUGAGUAACACGUGGGUGAUCUGCCCCUGACUUUGGGAUAAGCCUGGGAAACUGGGUCUAAUACCGGAUAUGACCUGCCCUUGCAUGGGGGUUGGUGGAAAGCUUUUGCGGUCAGGGAUGGGCCCGCGGCCUAUCAGCUUGUUGGUGGGGUAAUGGCCUACCAAGGCGACGACGGGUAGCCGGUCUGAGAGGAUGGUCGGCCACACUGGGACUGAGACACGGCCCAGACUCCUACGGGAGGCAGCAGUUGGGAAUCUUGGGCAAUGGGCGAAAGCCUGACCCAGCGACGCCGCGUGAGGGAAGAAGGCCUUCGGGUCGUAAACCUCUGUCAGUGGGGAAGAAGCAAGUGACGGUACCCAAGAGGAAGCCCUGCUAACUACGUGCCAGCAGCCGCGGUAAGAGUACUCUAU